Molecule: long non-coding RNA, 3373 nt
Organism: Canis lupus familiaris (dog)
Lineage: Eukaryota; Metazoa; Chordata; Mammalia; Carnivora; Canidae
Exons: 3
Source: RefSeq, a predicted model, not a curated record
AUCCCCAGCUGGCUCAGAAUUGGACCCCAUCUCUGCCAUCUGCCAACUGUGUACCUAAGCAGAUCACCUGCAUAUCUCCUCUCUAGAGAGGAACAUAAAGCCUCAUGCUCUUACAUGUUCAUCAGGAGAAUGACUAGGGUUAGAAGGUUUGAAGAGAUGUCAGCCUCAUGCACUAGGCCCGUUAUGGGUUAUACUGUUUCUCCCCCUCCCCAAAAUAUGGAAGCCCUAUACCUUUGAAUGUGACCAUAUUUGGAAAUAGGGUCUUUGCAGAUGUGUUUAAAUUGAGGUAAUUAGGGUGGGUCCUAAUCUGACUGUGUCCUCAUACAAAGGAGAAAUUUGGACACAAGAGGCCCACACAUGGAGAACCUUGUGAAGAUGGAGGGUUGAGGGAUGCAUCUGCAAGCCAAGGAAUGCCAGAGUCACCAGCUGCCACCAGAAACCAGGAAGAGGAAAUGGGCACACCAGCCCAGCACCCAGGUGUACAGUGAGGAGCCCAGGAGAUGCAUGCUGCACCCAGGGGUGCAGGAGUGAAACCAGCAAGACCAGCCUUCAAGAUUGUUACUAGCCGAAAAGGAAUAAUGCUCACGAAGCUCAGAGCCUGAGCAGGCCCUGGGUCGAUGGCAGCUAGGUUAUUCCUCCUCCAACUCCCUCGGCCUUCCCCCUGUCAGGGGGAGGGGAAAGGAAAUGUGUUUUCUGCUGAGUAAUGCAGUAAAAAAAAAAAAAAAAAAAAAAAAAAAAUCUUGGAAAAACAGUAUGAAUUCUGACAUCUUCCAGUGUGUGCAACACUAAAUAUUUUAGGUAACCCACAAAGUGAAUGCACAGACACCCAUCUCCAAGAUGACUCAACCCUCUUAUUAUUGGAUUCUGGAUGAAGCCCCCACUCCACAGCUGGGCCAGCCAACCGUGGGGCUGAAGCCUGCAGGGUGCCCCGCUGACGGCGGCAGGGGGGUCUGCAUUCCGCCCGCAAUUCUCAGAUCCCCAGCGCCACCGCCACCGCAUGAAGACCGCCCCCGCUGCCGAUGCCAAGGAAGUGGUGUUGCCGUUCAUAAAUAUUUAAGGGACGCAUCUUGAAACACACCGGGGGAUUACUGGAGAGUGUGGAAAACAGACGGGCGCAGAGGAAGCUCAAGGUCAUUAAGGAUGUGAGAAAAAGAUACAAGCCACCCACGGAAUCACUUGUGACAGGAUGCAGAGGGACACCCCCGCUGCAGCAGCGACUGCCGACGCUGGGGGCCAUUCAGACAAACUUGGUCUCUCCUUCAGGGACAUCCUUCCUGUUCUGCGGGGGGCCACGAAAGACUUGUUCACGUGCCAGGCCCACCCCAGACCCUCUCAGGGCCUUGAGGGCAACCUGCUACCCGGUGGAGGGGGUGCAGUUUGCUCACCCAAACCCUUAACUCACAAAGAGGAGGUGUGUGAAUCUCAGAAACUUCAGCAGCUCUCCAGCUCUCCAUCAGGGCAGCCAUAAAGCACAAAGGGCUCGGGAGAGCCGGGCUGGAACCUUCUCUGAAUCUGCCUAACUAUGGCCCCUCCAGCAUCUGAGAUAGGGGGAGAGCGUUCAGCAGCAGCCCCAGCCACACCCCGACUCACGGCUCUGCACCGGUGAGUGGGAACAUGCAACUGGGAAAAUGUUUAGGUUUCCUUAAUUUGAGAAACAUCUCAGCCUGUGUUUAUUCUCAGCAUAAAUACACCUCCAAUUAAUUAAACGAGCACUCUUCCUCGUUGACACUAACCUCUUCAGAAGCCUAGGCUUUCGGCCGCUGCCGGGUGAUUCAUCCAGCAAUCCCAGUGCAGCGGAGUCUUACAGAACCCUCUCCCCAUCACUGGUUACCUAGCAACCAGCCUAGCAACCUCGGAGCCAAGAGAUUCAUCCCCGAGUGAUAACCAUAAAGUAACAUCCAAAAAGACAUCUCGUCUCAAGGAUGCCAUCCAAAGGUAUAUAAAGAGGAGGCGCAGAGCAGCCGGCUUCUUGCUCCUGAAGUGCACAAAUUAGAGACAAAGAGGGACACGUUAUUUACUUGUUGCUUCAACAGCCGAAAAGACGUGAUUUUAUCCUUGCAAUUCACACGUGGAAAUGAAAAGGACAGAGGAACGGCAGGGCUGGGCGCCACGCAGAAGCGGCCCGGUCACUGGCAGGGUGAGGAAGAGGUUCUGACCAGACCAAAGCUGUGACGGAGCCCCGAGCGUGGCGCCAGGUGGAGGCAGAUCCUUUCUCCCCACCUCUUGUCACAGGUUCAUCUCAGACACCACCUUUCCCCACACGCUCCCCAACCCUCGGCCAGCUGCCGCCUUACAGGAGAAGCGUGCCCUAUUGUGUGCUCCUUUCAAAGAUGCCAGACACAUAAUUGGGCAAUAAAAGGCUGGGAGAACAUUCCAGAAGGGUGAACGCCCUUAGCAUUUCCAAAAGGUGCCAGCUCUCGUGAGCCUGCCCUGCCCCUGGGCUAGAAUGUGUCUCCAUCCACAAAGGGCCACAUACUUAGUGUAUGACCUGGAGGGCUCAUCACAGUGCACAUUCCCAAGGCCCCUCCGUUAAAAAUCAAACUUCAGGUGAUUCCAACGCAGGUGGUCCCAGAGCACACUUAGAGCAACAGUGCCCUGGAGGCCACCUCUCACUCCCAGGCCCCACGGCAGGUGCAUGGGGAACCAGGUAAAUCUUCCCUGUUCCGAAGGGUGUUGGAGCCAAAACCUGAUGUGCCCACAGAACACAGGGUGUUCAGCUGCAUAACGCCUGCAGGCCUCCUGGUCAGGUUGGCCUGGCCACCCGGUUCAGGUCACACUCUGCUGACUGUGACCUUGGGGGUCGUCUGCCCAACCGGGUGGGAAGUGGUGAGUUAACACCCGGAAAGGGCUUACAUCCACAUAUGGCCUAGGGCGAGGGCUCCAUAGGGAGCUGCCUUACUCAAUAAGUGAGGGUCCCACAGGCAAACCCUGGAAAUCUCACCAGGUCCCUGCGCACUCUGGGCCAGCAGCAUGGCUAGUCACCCGGUGACCUAUGCCACCCUGCUGGACCUCACCAGGACACCUGGUCACACCUGAAGAGAACCACAGCCAAGAACAGCCCCUCAGAGGGGAGCCUGGACUCCAUGACAUGGAAGGAAGACACCAGAAUAUGAGGCUCACACUGCAAAAGACUCAAGUGUGUGGCCUGCCACCUAUCCCAAGACUGCUGGGAAGGAGGGUGACUUGUGUUCUGUGUGGCUCGAGGAGCAGAUGCAGGAUCCCAGGAAGUGGUCACCAGGAGAGUUUUCAAAUCAAGAAAGGCAAAGGAUUCUUAGAAGCACAAGGGGCACCUGGGUUUGAAGCACCUUGUGCUUAGAAGCACAAGGCUCAGUCGGUUGAGCGGCCGACUCUUGAUUUUGGCUCAGGUCAUGAU